Molecule: small RNA, 661 nt
Filed under: uncultured Cenococcum
Lineage: Eukaryota; Fungi; Ascomycota; Dothideomycetes; Gloniales; Gloniaceae
Description: eukaryotic LSU rRNA
Rfam family: Eukaryotic large subunit ribosomal RNA (bases 448-661)
Source: RNAcentral
UACAGAAAGUAAACGCGGGUCAAACCGCGAACUUUUAAACCUUUGACGAUUGACUCACGUUGCCUCGGCGGGUUCGCCCGCCAGAGGAUACAUACAAAACUCCUGAUUUAACGGUGUUGUCUGAGCUACAAGCAACGAAUCAAAACUUUCAACAACGGAUCUCUUGGUUCUGGCAUCGAUGAAGAACGCAGCGAAAUGCGAUAAGUAGUGUGAAUUGCAGAAUUCAGUGAAUCAUCGAAUCUUUGAACGCACAUUGCGCCCCUUGGUAUCCCGAGGGGCAUGCCUGUUCGAGCGUCAUUUCACCACUCAAGCCUGGCUUGGUGUUGGGCGACGUUCCCUUUGGGGGCGCGCUUCGAAACGCUCGGCGGCGUGGCACCGGCUUUAAGCGUAGCAGAAUCUUUCGCUUUGAAAGUCGGGGCACCGUCUGCCGGAAGACCUGCUCAAGGUUGACCUCGGAUCAGGUAGGGAUACCCGCUGAACUUAAGCAUAUCAAUAAGCGGAGGAAAAGAAACCAACAGGGAUUGCCUCAGUAACGGCGAGUGAAGCGGCAACAGCUCAAAUUUGAAAUCUGGCUCUUUUAGGGCCCGAGUUGUAAUUUGUAGAGGAUGCUUCGGCGUCGGCUCCGGUCUAAGUUCCUUGGAACAGGACGUCAUAGAGGUUG